AUGAACGCUGGCGGCGUGCUUAACACAUGCAAGUCGUACGAGAAAUCUCGGGCUUGCUCGAGAGAGUAAAGUGGCGCACGGGUGAGUAACACGUAGGUAAUCUACCUCCGGGUCAGGGAUAACCCGCCGAAAGGCGGGCUAAUACCUGGUAAUAUCCUGCCUGCGAGAGCAGGCGGGAUCAAAGGUGGCCUCUGCAUGCAAGCUACUGUUUGGAGAUGAGCCUGCGGACCAUUAGCUUGGUAGGGUAAUGGCCUACCAAGGCGACGAUGGUUAGCUGGUCUGAGAGGACGGCCAGCCACACUGGAACUGGAACACGGUCCAGA
RNAcentral lists this ribosomal RNA (323 nucleotides) under uncultured bacterium. RNAcentral's name for it is "bacterial SSU rRNA". It matches the Rfam family "Bacterial small subunit ribosomal RNA", at positions 29 to 335 of the family's 1533-position model. The record is from RNAcentral.